CGAGUAACCUGCCCUUAACUCUGGGAUAAGCCUGGGAAACUGGGUCUAAUACCGGAUAUGACUCCUCAUCGCAUGGUGGGGGGUGGAAAGCUUUAUUGUGGUUUUGGAUGGACUCGCGGCCUAUCAGCUUGUUGGUGGGGUGAUGGCCUACCAAGGCGACGACGGGUAGCCGGCCUGAGAGGGUGACCGGCCACACUGGGACUGAGACACGGCCCAGACUCCUACGGGAGGCAG
RNAcentral lists this ribosomal RNA (234 nucleotides) under uncultured bacterium. RNAcentral describes it as "partial 16S ribosomal RNA". It matches the Rfam family "Bacterial small subunit ribosomal RNA", at positions 118 to 351 of the family's 1533-position model. The record is from RNAcentral.